This 2285-nucleotide small RNA is filed under the name Pongo abelii (Sumatran orangutan). RNAcentral's name for it is "retained intron". The record is from RNAcentral. Lineage: Eukaryota; Metazoa; Chordata; Mammalia; Primates; Hominidae.
UAAGGGGAUGGAGCCACUUUAACAACAUGGUGGUAGCACAGAACUUCCUGCUGCAGCUGCCUGCAGCCUCGCCUUGGUUCUGCAGUAGUGGUGUUCGCCGGCGGCUGCAGAUCCGAAAUGCCUGAGAGCUUAAAAAAAUGCGCGUGGGCUUCUGCCCAAACUAGUUAAAUGGGAAUCACUGGCGAUUCUCAUUUCAGAGAACUGGUGGUUUUUUAAGUACCUCAGGGAAGUUUAGUGUCUGCUCAGUUGAGAAUCAGCGUUCUACCCGGAAGGGCACUCGCAGCCUGGUCUGGUACGGACAUGGACAGGAGAGCGUCCUGUCUUCUCCAGGAUCUUUGUGGGUAGGGGUGGGGCUGGUGGUUAUUCCCUGCAAGCUGUGCUUAUCUAGGGAGCGUCCCUUGGAGGGUUUGUGGUCUGGGAGGGCUGCUGGCACCACUUGCUGAAGGUGGGGGCGGGUCCACCAGUGGCCUCGGGCACUUGGGUAGCACACAGUGGUCUGGAGAGCAGGUGGUGCUUCUCUCAGGUUUUCAUGAGAGGCUGUCUUUUCAGCUGUAAUGGUGGCUAUCCUGCUGAAGCUUGGAACUUCUGGACAAGAAAAGGCCUGGUUUCUGGUGGCCUCUAUGAAUCCCAUGUAGGGUGCAGACCGUACUCCAUUCCUCCCUGUGAGCACCACGUCAACGGCUCCCGGCCUCCAUGCACAGGGGAGGGAGACACCCCCAAGUGUAGCAAGAUCUGCGAGCCUGGCUACAGUCCGACCUACAAACAGGACAAGCACUACGGAUACAAUUCCUACAGCGUCUCCAAUAGCGAGAGGGACAUCAUGGCCGAGAUCUACAAAAACGGCCCCGUGGAGGGAGCUUUCUCUGUGUAUUCGGACUUCCUGCUAUACAAGUCAGGAGUGUACCAACACGUCACCGGAGAGAUGAUGGGCGGCCAUGCCAUCCGCAUCCUGGGCUGGGGAGUGGAGAACGGCACACCCUACUGGCUGGUUGCCAACUCCUGGAACACUGACUGGGGUGACAAUGGCUUCUUUAAAAUACUCAGAGGACAGGAUCACUGUGGAAUCGAAUCAGAAGUGGUGGCUGGAAUUCCACGCACCGAUCAGUACUGGGAAAAGAUCUAAUCUGCCAUGGGCCUGUCCUGCCAGUCCUGGGGGAGUUUUCCCUGAAUACAGUCGGAUGGGGGCGAGAUGGGGGUAGAAAUGCAUUUUAUUCUUUGAGUUUACAUAAGAUACAAGUUUUAGACAGGGUCUGAAGGACUGGAUUGGCCAAACAUCAGCCAUCAGACCUGUUUUCCAAGGAGACACAUCCCAAGUCCUGGCUACAUCCCAGCCUGUGGUUACACUGCAGACAGUUAGGCCAUGUGAGCCACUGCUGCCAGCACACAGCAUCCUCCCCCUGUAGACUAGUGCUGUAGGGAGUACCUGCUCCCCCAGCUAACUGUGGCCCCCUCCCCGAUCCAUCCAUCUCCAGGGAGCAAGACAGAGACCCAGGAAUGGAAAGCAGAGUUCCUAACAGGAUGUUCCUAACAGGAGUUCCUAACAGUUCCCCCAUCAGUUCCCCCAGUACUUCUAAGCAAGGAGCUUUCCACAUUUGCUACAAGAUCAGAGGAGAGAUGGUGUUGGGAGCCCUUUGGAGAACGCCACAGUCUCCCAGGCCCCCUGCAUCUACCGAGUUUGCAAUGUCACAUCCUCUCUGAUCUUGUGCUCAGCAUGAUUCUUUAAUAGAAGUCUUCUUUUUUCUGCACUCUGCUAAUCAUGUGGCUGAGCGAGUCGAACAGCUGGGAGACCUGUGCUAGUUUUACAGAGUGCCUCCUAAUGACGCGGCUCAAAACGAAACCAAGUGGUCAGGACUUGUUUCUGACCCACUGAUCUCUACUAUCACAAGGAAACUAGUUUAGGAGAAACCAGCUUUUACCGUGUUUUAAAAACUACAGCUUCACCCUAUCAAGUUAACAAGGAAUGCCUGUGCCAAUAAAAGGUUUCUCCUUCAACUUGAAGUCAACUCUGAUGGGAUCUCAGAUCCUUUGUCGCUGCCUAUAGACUUAUAGCUGCUGACUAUCCUUGUCCCUGCAGAGAAUCACGUCCUGGAACUGCAUGUUCUUGCAACUCUUGGGACCUCAUCUUAACUUCCUGCUGCCCCAGCCAUGUUUUCAACCAUGGCAUCCCCCCCCCCUUAGUUCCCUGUCAUCCUCAUCAACCUUCUCUGUAAGUCCUUGGUAAGCUUGCCCUUGCUUAAGAACAACAUAGCUGUGCUCUGUUUUUGUUGUUGCUGAGACAGAAUCUC